UAAAUCCUUCUCCCAAUCCCUGUCGCAUCCGCAUCCGCACCGGCACCUCGACUGCAUCCCUAGCCGCCACCCGCUACUCUCUUGACCACCGCAACAACUAACCAUAUCCAUCUCUCUCUCACUCCUCACCUGCUGCCGCUGCCGCCGGUGGCGAUGGAGACCUUCCUGCGGCUGCGCGGCGCCGACUCCACCUCCGGCCAGCAGCUCGGCCUCCGCAUCCACGCCAAGCAGAAGCCCCGACCCUCCUAUCCAUCCGACGGCAGUGCUCCUUUUCGUGGAGAUGGAAGAUGACCGGCCAGGCAGCGGCUGUCUCUUCUGCUCAAGCCCGAUGCACAGAUCCGUGUUGGAAAUGUUGGUAUGUGAUGGAAUAAAGAAGGGAGUGGGUAGGCGCAUGGAUCUGGGGCUCUAAUUGUCAACAGCGGGUGUGGAGAGGGAUGAGGUGAUGGAUGAAUUACAGCUUGUAAUUAGCGUGUAUUUUUGCUAUAAUUGAUCUUGAUCGAUAUAGCAUGGA
This is a long non-coding RNA of Triticum aestivum (bread wheat), 511 nucleotides long. RefSeq lists it as uncharacterized. NCBI's taxonomy places the organism in Eukaryota, Viridiplantae, Streptophyta, Magnoliopsida, Poales, Poaceae. The record is from RefSeq and is a predicted model, not a curated record. The transcript has 2 exons.